Molecule: ribosomal RNA, 497 nt
Filed under: uncultured bacterium
Lineage: Bacteria
Description: partial 16S ribosomal RNA
Rfam family: Bacterial small subunit ribosomal RNA
Source: RNAcentral
GAUGAACGCUGGCGGCGUGCCUAAUACAUGCAAGUCGAGCGAACAGACGAGGAGCUUGCUCCUCUGACGUUAGCGGCGGACGGGUGAGUAACACGUGGAUAACCUACCUAUAAGACUGGGAUAACUUCGGGAAACCGGAGCUAAUACCGGAUAAUAUAUUGAACCGCAUGGUUCAAUAGUGAAAGACGGUUUUGCUGUCACUUAUAGAUGGAUCCGCGCCGCAUUAGCUAGUUGGUAAGGUAACGGCUUACCAAGGCAACGAUGCGUAGCCGACCCGAGAGGGUGAUCGGCCACACUGGAACUGAGACACGGUCCAGACUCAUACGGGAGGCAGCAGUAGGGAAUCUUCCGCAAUGGGCGAAAGCCUGACGGAGCAACGCCGCGUGAGUGAUGAAGGUCUUCGGAUCGUAAAACUCUGUUAUUAGGGAAGAACAAAUGUGUAAGUAACUAUGCACGUCUUGACGGUACCUAAUCAGAAAGCCACGGCUAACUACGUG